AACCUGCAACGUAAAUUGAAUAAAGCACUGAAAACCAUUUAACAUGAACUCUACCUAUUAUAAAAACUGCAAGCAAAAGCAACCUAAUUCAAUUACUGGUCGACCCACACGAGCGUUCGUGCUAUACGUUAGAAAAACGAUAUGGUUCGCGGUCUGAGCGCCGCGUUUCCGUCAAAUGUACGUUCGCGGAGUGCAAACGUUCACGAAACGCCCGUGUGAGGUUGACUUAAUGAUGAGCAUUGACAAAAAAUAUUUAAAGUCAUCUUUUUUCGAUGAACAAAUAGCUCACGGAAUAUUGCAACAUCAAUUCAAAAAAGCAAUACCAGCAUACCUACUUAAUACGUAAUACUUUUAAUUACACGUGUCUAAUACUUACUCAGAAUUAGGUACCAUACAUAUUUCGUCCGUUGAAGCCCUCGUACGUUUGAACCUCAAGAUAUAUUUCAGAAUUACUGUGAUUUACCAAAAAGCCUACUUAUUAAAAAUUAAGUAGAAGAUCCACGAUCUGCACCGAUACACAGAGGAAGGUAUUUCAACAACUUACAACAAAAAGUCAAAAAGGGAAUCGCUCUCUUGCUGCGAUUCAUGAGUGAAAAUUCAAGAAAGUACUAUUAAAGUCAACGAUCACUCUCGAGAUACGAGGUGACUACCAUUCUUUAUCGACUUGAAGCUAGCCAGAUGACGAGUUGAUGUAGACCCUUAAAUG
This 706-nucleotide long non-coding RNA is filed under the name Pectinophora gossypiella (pink bollworm). Its description in RNAcentral is "uncharacterized LOC126381054". Lineage: Eukaryota; Metazoa; Arthropoda; Insecta; Lepidoptera; Gelechiidae. The record is from RNAcentral.